GCUUUCAUAUCUGCUUUAAAUGCAAGUUGAAAUUGACAACGAGAUGAGGAAUGGACCUUUGUGGGCUCACCAGCGGCGGUCUAGGAAUGAAGACCUGGGUGAGCUAAAACUUCUUAGUAAUGUUUCAAAGGAUGAUCACACCUGGUUACGUGGGACACGGUGAGCCUUUCCCCUCAAAUGCAAUACAACACUUUGAAAACAAAAUAAAACCAAACUGAGUCUAACUCUAUGACUCUAUGAGUCCCUAAAAGCUUCAAAACUGUUGGAUCACCGAAUCAUCAUUCUGGGUGCCGGUUUCCAACAGUAAUACUUAGUAAUAGAUUACUUAGAAAUCAUGGAUGAACGUUCAUUCAAGCUAAAAUCAACACGAACCCAUAAGCUGAUUCCUGAUUUUUGUUUAUCCUAAACCAAAACAGCCUCCCGGUUUUAAUCAAAUUAAACAAACAAUAACAAAUAAACAAAAAACUACAAAACUAAACAACGGAUACCCAGAAUCAAGGGGAACAAAUCACAUAUGAAUUCAACAGUAAGAAUACCUGAGAUAAUAAAAAAGCGUUUAAAACCCAAAAAUUUAAUUGGGGAAUUAACUGAAGUUUAGAGAUGCUUACAAAUUGAGAGAGAGAGAGAGAGAGAGAGAGAGAGAGAGAGAGAGAGAGAGAGAUUAGAAGAGGAACAGGGAAGAGAGUUUCGACUCGCUGGGCUUUAGUUGAGCUGGAGAUGUUUUACACCACACCCACUGUUAUAACUUUUGUUUCUGUCUUCCAU
This 765-nucleotide long non-coding RNA is filed under the name Fragaria vesca (wild strawberry). Its description in RNAcentral is "long non-coding RNA (FVES_LNC003745)". Lineage: Eukaryota; Viridiplantae; Streptophyta; Magnoliopsida; Rosales; Rosaceae. The record is from RNAcentral.